UACGAAGGGUGCAAACGUUGCUCGGAAUUAUUGGGCGUAAAGCGCACGUAGGCGGCUUUGCAAGUCGGAUGUGAAAUCCCUCGGCUCAACCAAGGAAGUGCAUCCGAAACUGCAGAGCCUGAGUACCAAAGAGGAUCGCGGAAUUCCCGGUGUAGAGGUGAAAUUCGUAGAUAUCGGGAGGAACACCAGUGGCGAAGGCGGCGAUCUGGGUGGAUACUGACGCUGAGGUGCGAAAGCGUGGGGAGCAAACAGG
This 253-nucleotide ribosomal RNA is filed under the name uncultured bacterium. RNAcentral's name for it is "partial 16S ribosomal RNA". It matches the Rfam family "Bacterial small subunit ribosomal RNA", at positions 524 to 776 of the family's 1533-position model. The record is from RNAcentral.